Molecule: ribosomal RNA, 306 nt
Filed under: uncultured bacterium
Lineage: Bacteria
Description: partial 16S ribosomal RNA
Rfam family: Bacterial small subunit ribosomal RNA
Source: RNAcentral
GACAGCAGCCGCCGCGGGAAUACGAAGGGUGCAAGCGUUACUCGGAAUUACUGGGCGUAAAGCGUGCGUAGGUGGUGGUUUAAGUCCGUUGUGAAAGCCCUGGGCUCAACCUGGGAAUUGCAGUGGAUACUGGGUCACUAGAGUGUGGUAGAGGAUAGUGGAAUUUCCGGUGUAGCAGUGAAAUGCGUAGAGAUCGGAAGGAACAUCUGUGGCGAAGGCGACUAUCUGGGCCAACACUGACACUGAGGCACGAAAGCGUGGGGAGCAAACAGGAUUAGAUACCCGGGUAGUCCCUGUCUUUUAUAC